UCUAGUGACCGAUAGUGAACCAGUACCGUGAGGGAAAGGUGAAAAGUACCCCGGAAGGGGAGUGAAAGAGAACUUGAAACCGUGUGCUUACAAGUAGUCAGAGCCCGUUAAUGGGUGAUGGCGUGCCUUUUGUAGAAUGAACCGGCGAGUUACGAUCUGAUGCAAGGUUAAGCAGCAAAUGUGGAGCCGCAGCGAAAGCGAGUCUGAAUAGGGCGUUGAGUAUUUGGUCGUAGACCCGAAACCAGGUGAUCUACCCUUGGUCAGGUUGAAGUUCAGGUAACACUGAAUGGAGGACCGAACCGACUUACGUUGAAAAGUGAGCGGAUGAACUGAGGGUAGCGGAGAAAUUCCAAUCGAACUUGGAGAUAGCUGGUUCUCUCCGAAAUAGCUUUAGGGCUAGCCUCAAGUGAUGAUUAUUGGAGGUAGAGCACUGUUUGGACGAGGGGCCCCUCUCGGGUUACCGAAUUCAGACAAACUCCGAAUGCCAAUUAAUUUAACUUGGGAGUCAGAACAUGGGUGAUAAGGUCCGUGUUCGAAAGGGAAACAGCCCAGACCACCAGCUAAGGUCCCAAAAUAUAUGUUAAGUGGAAAAGGAUGUGGCGUUGCCCAGACAACUAGGAUGUUGGCUUAGAAGCAGCCAUCAUUUAAAGAGUGCGUAAUAGCUCACUAGUCGAGUGACACUGCGCCGAAAAUGUACCGGGGCUAAACAUAUUACCGAAGCUGUGGAUUGUCCUUUGGACAAUGGUAGGAGAGCGUUCUAAG
This 762-nucleotide ribosomal RNA is filed under the name Staphylococcus epidermidis. RNAcentral describes it as "partial 23S ribosomal RNA". It matches the Rfam family "Bacterial large subunit ribosomal RNA", at positions 476 to 1245 of the family's 2925-position model. Lineage: Bacteria; Bacillati; Bacillota; Bacilli; Caryophanales; Staphylococcaceae. The record is from RNAcentral.